RNAcentral lists this ribosomal RNA (34 nucleotides) under Mesenchytraeus pelicensis. Its description in RNAcentral is "partial 18S ribosomal RNA". The record is from RNAcentral. Lineage: Eukaryota; Metazoa; Annelida; Clitellata; Enchytraeida; Enchytraeidae.
UGUUUCCGUAGGUGAACCUGCGGAAGGAUCAUUA